UACGUAGGGGGCAAGCGUUAUCCGGAUUUACUGGGUGUAAAGGGAGCGUAGGUGGCAUGGCAAGCCAGAAGUGAAAACCCGGGGCUUAACCCCGCGGAUUGCUUUUGGAACUGUCAGGCUGGAGUGCAGGAGGGGCAGGCGGAAUUCCUGGUGUAGCGGUGAAAUGCGUAGAUAUAUGGAGGAACACCGGUGGCGAAAGCGGCUCUCUGGCCUGUAACUGACACUGAGGCUCGAAAGCGUGGGGAGCAAACAGG
This 254-nucleotide ribosomal RNA is filed under the name uncultured bacterium. RNAcentral's name for it is "partial 16S ribosomal RNA". It matches the Rfam family "Bacterial small subunit ribosomal RNA", at positions 524 to 776 of the family's 1533-position model. The record is from RNAcentral.